RNAcentral lists this ribosomal RNA (384 nucleotides) under Rhizobium leguminosarum. RNAcentral describes it as "bacterial SSU rRNA". It matches the Rfam family "Bacterial small subunit ribosomal RNA", at positions 19 to 433 of the family's 1533-position model. Lineage: Bacteria; Pseudomonadati; Pseudomonadota; Alphaproteobacteria; Hyphomicrobiales; Rhizobiaceae. The record is from RNAcentral.
CUGGCUCAGAACGAACGCUGGCGGCAGGCUUAACACAUGCAAGUCGAGCGCCCCGCAAGGGGAGCGGCAGACGGGUGAGUAACGCGUGGGAAUCUACCCUUGACUACGGAAUAACGCAGGGAAACUUGUGCUAAUACCGUAUGUGUCCUUCGGGAGAAAGAUUUAUCGGUCAAGGAUGAGCCCGCGUUGGAUUAGCUAGUUGGUGGGGUAAAGGCCUACCAAGGCGACGAUCCAUAGCUGGUCUGAGAGGAUGAUCAGCCACAUUGGGACUGAGACACGGCCCAAACUCCUACGGGAGGCAGCAGUGGGGAAUAUUGGACAAUGGGCGCAAGCCUGAUCCAGCCAUGCCGCGUGAGUGAUGAAGGCCCUAGGGUUGUAAAGCUC